GACGAACGCUGGCGGCGUGCUUAACACAUGCAAGUCGAACGGAAAGGCCCUGCUUUUGUGGGGUGCUCGAGUGGCGAACGGGUGAGUAACACGUGAGUAACCUGCCCUUGACUUUGGGAUAACUUCAGGAAACUGGGGCUAAUACCGGAUAUGAGCUCCUGCUGCAUGGUGGGGGUUGGAAAGUUUCGGCGGUUGGGGAUGGACUCGCGGCUUAUCAGCUUGUUGGUGGGGUAGUGGCAUACCAAGGCUUUGACGGGUAGCCGGCAUGAGAGGGUGACCGGCGCCAAGAGGACUGAGAGAGGGCGCAGACGCCUACGGGAGGCAGCAGGGGGGAAUAUUGCACAACGGGCGGAAGCCUGAGGCAGCAACGCUGCGUUCGGGAUGAGGGCCUUCGGGUUGCAAACCGCUUUCGCCUGUGACGAGGCGUGAGUGACGGUAAUGGGUAAAGAAGCACCGGCUAACUACGUG
RNAcentral lists this ribosomal RNA (468 nucleotides) under uncultured bacterium. Its description in RNAcentral is "partial 16S ribosomal RNA". It matches the Rfam family "Bacterial small subunit ribosomal RNA", at positions 28 to 507 of the family's 1533-position model. The record is from RNAcentral.